Molecule: ribosomal RNA, 684 nt
Filed under: Escherichia coli
Lineage: Bacteria; Pseudomonadati; Pseudomonadota; Gammaproteobacteria; Enterobacterales; Enterobacteriaceae
Description: partial 23S ribosomal RNA
Rfam family: Bacterial large subunit ribosomal RNA
Source: RNAcentral
CCGAGGAAAAGAAAUCAACCGAGAUUCCCCCAGUAGCGGCGAGCGAACGGGGAGCAGCCCAGAGCCUGAAUCAGUGUGUGUGUUAGUGGAAGCGUCUGGAAAGGCGCGCGAUACAGGGUGACAGCCCCGUACACAAAAAUGCACAUGCUGUGAGCUCGAUGAGUAGGGCGGGACACGUGGUAUCCUGUCUGAAUAUGGGGGGACCAUCCUCCAAGGCUAAAUACUCCUGACUGACCGAUAGUGAACCAGUACCGUGAGGGAAAGGCGAAAAGAACCCCGGCGAGGGGAGUGAAAAAGAACCUGAAACCGUGUACGUACAAGCAGUGGGAGCACGCUUAGGCGUGUGACUGCGUACCUUUUGUAUAAUGGGUCAGCGACUUAUAUUCUGUAGCAAGGUUAACCGAAUAGGGGAGCCGAAGGGAAACCGAGUCUUAACUGGGCGUUAAGUUGCAGGGUAUAGACCCGAAACCCGGUGAUCUAGCCAUGGGCAGGUUGAAGGUUGGGUAACACUAACUGGAGGACCGAACCGACUAAUGUUGAAAAAUUAGCGGAUGACUUGUGGCUGGGGGUGAAAGGCCAAUCAAACCGGGAGAUAGCUGGUUCUCCCCGAAAGCUAUUUAGGUAGCGCCUCGUGAAUUCAUCUCCGGGGGUAGAGCACUGUUUCGGCAAGGGGGUCAUCCCGAC